UUACGGCCAUAUCACGUUGAAACACCGGUUCUCGUACGAUCACCGAAGUUAAGCAACGUCGAGCUUUCUCAGUACGUAGAUCGGUGACCGCUUGGGAAUACCAUGUAAUGUAAG
Acanthosepion pharaonis is the source of this 114-nucleotide non-coding RNA. The record is from the annotation of a GenBank genome assembly. Lineage: Eukaryota; Metazoa; Mollusca; Cephalopoda; Sepiida; Sepiidae.